AUAGCCUUUCGAAAGGAAGAUUAAUACCCCAUAAUAUUUAGAAUGGCAUCAUUUUAAAUUGAAAACUCCGGUGGAUAGAGAUGGGCACGCGCAAGAUUAGAUAGUUGGUGAGGUAACGGCUCACCAAGUCUGCGAUCUUUAGGGGGCCUGAGAGGGUGAUCCCCCACACUGGUACUGAGACACGGACCAGACUCCUACGGGAGGCAGCAGUGAGGAAUAUUGGACAAUGGGUGCGAGCCUGAUCCAGCCAUCCCGCGUGAAGGACGACGGCCCUAUGGGUUGUAAACUUCUUUUGUAUAGGGAUAAACCUACCCUCGUGAGGGUAGCUGAAGGUACUAUACGAAUAAGCACCGGCUAACUCCGUGCCAGCAGCCGCGGUAAUACGGAGGGUGCAAGCGUUAUCCGGAUUUAUUGGGUUUAAAGGGUCCGUAGGCGGAUGUGUAAGUCAGUGGUGAAAUCUCACAGCUUAACUGUGAAACUGCCAUUGAUACUGCAUGUCUUGAGUGUUGUUGAAGUAGCUGGAAUAAGUAGUGUAGCGGUGAAAUGCAUAGAUAUUACUUAGAACACCAAUUGCGAAGGCAGGUUACUAAGCAACAACUGACGCUGAUGGACGAAAGCGUGGGGAGCGAACAGGAUUAGAUACCCUGGUAGUCCACGCCGUAAACGAUGCUAACUCGUUUUUGGGUUUUCGGAUUCAGAGACUAAGCGAAAGUGAUAAGUUAGCCACCUGGGGAGUACGAACGCAAGUUUGAAACUCAAAGGAAUUGACGGGGGCCCGCACAAGCGGUGGAUUAUGUGGUUUAAUUCGAUGAUACGCGAGGAACCUUACCAAGGCUUAAAUGGGAAAUGACAGGUUUAGAAAUAGACUUUUCUUCGGACAUUUUUCAAGGUGCUGCAUGGUUGUCGUCAGCUCGUGCCGUGAGGUGUUAGGUUAAGUCCUGCAACGAGCGCAACCCCUGUCACUAGUUGCCAUCAUUAAGUUGGGGACUCUAGUGAGACUGCCUACGC
RNAcentral lists this ribosomal RNA (1008 nucleotides) under Chryseobacterium sp. CPO 4.004. RNAcentral describes it as "bacterial SSU rRNA". It matches the Rfam family "Bacterial small subunit ribosomal RNA", at positions 143 to 1158 of the family's 1533-position model. The record is from RNAcentral. Lineage: Bacteria; Pseudomonadati; Bacteroidota; Flavobacteriia; Flavobacteriales; Weeksellaceae.